GUGCCCUCUCUCCCUUCCUUUUAAAGGGCUGGCACAAUUAAGGACAGCACAAAUAUUAAUACUGGAGGGGGACAGAGAAGAUUAGCACGGCCUCUGCUCAAGGAUGACAUGCAAAUUUGGGAAGUGUUCUGUAUUUAA
Molecule: small nuclear RNA, 138 nt
Filed under: Dasypus novemcinctus (nine-banded armadillo)
Lineage: Eukaryota; Metazoa; Chordata; Mammalia; Cingulata; Dasypodidae
Source: RNAcentral